CUGACGCAGCGACGCGCGUGGAGUGAAGAAGGCUUCGGGUCGUAAAAUACUGUCAGAUGGAAAGAAGUGUAUAGAAGUUAAUAGCAUUUAUAUUUGACGGAACCAUCAAAGGAAGCACCGGCUAACUCCGUGCCAGCAGCCGCGGUAAUACAGGAGGGUGCAAGCGUUAGAUUCGGAAUUACUGGGCGUAAAGCGCGCGUAGGCGGUUUUAUAAGUUCAGAUGUGAAAGUCCACGGCUCAACCGUGGAACGUGCAUUUAAAACUGUCAUUACUUAGAGUACUGGAGAGGGUGGUGGAAUUUCCUGUGUAGAGGUGAAAUUCGUAGAUAUCGGAGAGGACACCGGUGGCGAAGCGACCCACCUGGCCAGAUACUGACGCUGAGGUGCGAAACGUGGGGAGCAAACAGGAUUAGAUACCCUGGUAGUCCACGCCGUAAACGAUGUCAACUAGCUGUUGGGCGUUAAUCUCUCUCAUUCCCUACUAACGGAUUAAGUUCACCGCCUGAGUACUACGCUCACAA
This 520-nucleotide ribosomal RNA is filed under the name delta proteobacterium RS60. RNAcentral describes it as "bacterial SSU rRNA". It matches the Rfam family "Bacterial small subunit ribosomal RNA", at positions 383 to 891 of the family's 1533-position model. Lineage: Bacteria; Deltaproteobacteria. The record is from RNAcentral.